AUGCAGGGUGGAGUUCGGGAUUGAACUCCCAACUCCAGAGGAGCAAGGUAAAUGUGCUAACCUCUAAGUCACUGUGCCCCCUCUCAACUCUUCUUUUACAAGAUAAACCUGUAAAUUUCAGUAAAUUAAAGCCAUGUAUGCAAAUAAAUUUGAUACAAAGGCAAAAUUGUAUUCUGAUACAACUAUGACUAAUGAAGCAUAGCCUCUGAAUGUACACAAAGUCACCUUUGUUAUAAUGACUAUUAUAUGUAUAAUACAGCAGACUUAGGGAUCAAACUAACACUGUUUAGGAAAUUAACUAGCUAUGUUACUCUUGAGAUUCAUUCUAUAUGUAUUACACUAUAGCCUUACCGUAAAUGCACUCAAUCUGUCUUCAAGCAUGGUUUAACCCUUGGGAGACCCAGGUAUUUUCAGACACUCUGAUGAUUUUGGCAUGCUCUAAUAUUGUUGUCAGUUUGAACACAUGUAAGUCACGUGACUUUUUAGUAUUCAGCACAAGUUUACCUACCAUAAUAUCUAACUAGUAUGUGUUUCAUAAUGGUACAUUAAAAAUAAAUAACUGAUAAAUGAACCAGAUGUAACUGGGUAAAAAAAAACAAAACAAUCAUCACCGCCAGUGAUGACAUGGUCCCCAAAGAAUAGAAAGAGGCAGAUGGAGAAAGUGAGAGGAUUCCAGACAGCACACACUUUUUAUUUUUUCAGGGAAAAGAAGAAAAUGAGCCAAAAAACUCAAAGCAUUCCACAAGUUUUUUCCAUCUUCCAGUAAAGAGUCUGAGGGUCACGGGGAACCUGGAGCCUAUCCCAGGGAUCAUUGGGCACAAGGCGAGGGUGCACCCAGGACGGGGUGCCAAUCCAUCGCAGGGAACAAUUUCUUUUCGUGUCGUGGUGGAAGGAUUAGCCACUCAGAAGUAUGAUACUGAACGUUGCCCAGGGUGUGCCAGGGGAGGCUCCUUCCCACACCCAUUCACACACCCAUUCAUACACUACGGACACUUUGGACAUGCCAAUCCGCCUACCAUGCAUGUCUUUUGACUGGGAGGAAACCGGAGUACCUGGAAGAAACUCCCGCAGCAUGGGGAGAACAUGCAAACUCUGCACACACACAGGGCAGCGGUGGGAAUCGAACCCCCAAGCCUGGAGUUGUGAGGCGAACAUGCUAACCAGUAAGCAACCGUGUGCCCCCUUGUUAAAUACUUCAAUGUUGAAUGCCUGCUACAUAUGCUGUUAUUAUUAAUACAAAUGCAAUUAUUCGUAAGUUUCAUAUUUAUUCUUUUAAAAUGCAGUAUUUAGUUCAUGACUGGUGUUCUUUUUCCCAGAACUCAAUAUCGACAUUAAAUAAUAUCUUCAGUUCUACAUGUCUGU
Ictalurus punctatus (channel catfish) is the source of this 1362-nucleotide long non-coding RNA. The record is from Ensembl. NCBI's taxonomy places the organism in Eukaryota, Metazoa, Chordata, Actinopteri, Siluriformes, Ictaluridae.